AUUGAACGCUGGCGGCAUGCUUUACACAUGCAAGUCGAACGGUAACAGGGUGCUUGCACCGCUGACGAGUGGCGAACGGGUGAGUAAUGCAUCGGAACGUACCCAGUCGUGGGGGAUAACGUAGCGAAAGUUACGCUAAUACCGCAUACGUCCUGAGGGAGAAAGCGGGGGACCGUAAGGCCUCGCGCGAUUGGAGCGGCCGAUGUCGGAUUAGCUAGUUGGUAGGGUAAAGGCCUACCAAGGCGACGAUCCGUAGCGGGUCUGAGAGGAUGAUCCGCCACACUGGGACUGAGACACGGCCCAGACUCCUACGGGAGGCAGCAGUGGGGAAUUUUGGACAAUGGGCGAAAGCCUGAUCCAGCCAUGCCGCGUGAGUGAAGAAGGCCUUCGGGUUGUAAAGCUCUUUCAGAUGGAAAGAAAACGUACAGGUUAAUACCUUGUGCGGAUGACGGUACCAUCAGAAGAAGCACCGGCUAACUACGUGCCAGCAGCCGCGGUAAUACGUAGGGUGCGAGCGUUAAU
This 522-nucleotide ribosomal RNA is filed under the name uncultured bacterium. RNAcentral describes it as "bacterial SSU rRNA". It matches the Rfam family "Bacterial small subunit ribosomal RNA", at positions 28 to 545 of the family's 1533-position model. The record is from RNAcentral.